RNAcentral lists this long non-coding RNA (1021 nucleotides) under Olea europaea (common olive). RNAcentral's name for it is "long non-coding RNA (OEUR_LNC012030)". The record is from RNAcentral. Lineage: Eukaryota; Viridiplantae; Streptophyta; Magnoliopsida; Lamiales; Oleaceae.
UUCCCAAAGUGCAAAUAUCGAACAUGAACAACAAACAACCGAUUUUUCGUUUUUGUUCAUAAUAUGUUGCUCGAAAAAAAAAAAAUUUGACCCCACAAUUCGAAUGGUCUGGGUCCGCCCCUGAAAACUUAUUCAAAUACCAUUAUCAAAAAUCUGAAUCUAAAUCUGAGGCCCCCAAUUCCAAAUUAUUGCAAACCUACCAAAUAACACAAAAAGCAUAAAUCUUGCAAAAGGUCAACUCACAUCCUAAUAGGAUUUACUUGACAGCAAUACCAAGCCAUUACAAAGAAACAUUCUCAAUUUCGAUAAAUGUAAGUUUCAGAAGAAACAAAAAACACAUAGGAAUGAGAUUAUUGAAUCGAAUUCUAUAAUUGGACGAUUCAGCCUGAAAUGCUUGCAGAAUUCAAACAGUAGAAUCAAAUACCUUGGCGGCGUUGAAAGCUUCUUCGGAUUUCUGGAGAGUGUACGUUUUCUUGUUUUCGUAAGAGACAGAAGUCAUUCGGAUAAUUGUACGAGGAUGCUUGUGUAGAUUUUGACUGAGACAUGUUAACCCACCUACUACACCACCUGUAAUUGAAGCAGCCAUAGCCGUACACACUCCCCCCCUCUCUCUCUCUCUCUCUCUCUCACACACACACACACUCACUCACACACAAAACACGCAGUUGGGUAUAUCAAUUUCUCACAGCAGAGAAUUGUCCGACAAAGGGAUAAGAAAUUGAGAUAAGAGCGUCGUUCUUCAAUCAAUCCCAACCACCUUUGAAAUUACAGUCGUGCAAUUUUCUGUCAGGGCUCGGCUCAAAUAAUUUUCAAGGAUUCUAAUGGGCCUAGCCCGUCAAAAGCAAGAGAAAGAGAACUGGACCAAAAUAUUCCAAUUGUGACCUUGUUUGUCACAAAUUUCUUUGAAGAAAUUACAAAAAAUCAAGUAUUAAAACUUUCAAAUUCAAAAUUCGGGGGUAGAGUUUAUUGAUGCAAAAAUCAGGUAUCAUAUAUAAUUAACCCACCAAAUUCAAUUAAAAAC